GUAGGGAAUAUUGCGCAAUGGAGGCAACUCUGACGCAGCCAUGCCGCGUGCAGGAAGAAGGCGCUACGCGUUGUAAACUGCUUUUAACCGGGAAGAAACCCCAGGACGUGUCCUGGGUUGACGGUACCGGAGGAAUAAGCACCGGCUAACUUCGUGCCAGCAGCCGCGGUAAUACGAAGGGUGCAAGCGUUAUCCGGAUUCAUUGGGUUUAAAGGGUGCGUAGGCGGAGCGUUAAGUCAGUGGUGAAAUCCUGCAGCUUAACUGUAGACUUGCCAUUGAUACUGGCGCUCUUGAGUGCGCUUGAAGUGGGCGGAAUGUGCCGUGUAGCGGUGAAAUGCUUAGAUAUGGCACAGAACACCAAUUGCGAAGGCAGCUCACUAAGGCGAUACUGACGCUGAGGCACGAAAGCGUGGGGAUCGAACAGGAUUAGAUACCCUUGUAGUCC
Molecule: ribosomal RNA, 445 nt
Filed under: uncultured bacterium
Lineage: Bacteria
Description: partial 16S ribosomal RNA
Rfam family: Bacterial small subunit ribosomal RNA
Source: RNAcentral